GGCGGACGGGUGAGUAAUGCUUAGGAAUCUGCCUAUUAGUGGGGGACAACAUCUCGAAAGGGAUGCUAAUACCGCAUACGUCCUACGGGAGAAAGCAGGGGAUCUUCGGACCUUGCGCUAAUAGAUGAGCCUAAGUCGGAUUAGCUAGUUGGUGGGGUAAAGGCCUACCAAGGCGACGAUCUGUAGCGGGUCUGAGAGGAUGAUCCGCCACACUGGGACUGAGACACGGCCCAGACUCCUACGGGAGGCAGCAGUGGGGAAUAUUGGACAAUGGGGGGAACCCUGAUCCAGCCAUGCCGCGUGUGUGAAGAAGGCCUUAUGGUUGUAAAGCACUUUAAGCGAGGAGGAGGCUACUCUAGUUAAUACCUAGAGAUAGUGGACGUUACUCGCAGAAUAAGCACCGGCUAACUCUGUGCCAGCAGCCGCGGUAAUACAGAGGGUGCGAGCGUUAAUCGGAUUUACUGGGCGUAAAGCGUGCGUAGGCGGCUUAUUAAGUCGGAUGUGAAAUCCCCGAGCUUAACUUGGGAAUUGCAUUCGAUACUGGUGAGCUAGAGUAUGGGAGAGGAUGGUAGAAUUCCAGGUGUAGCGGUGAAAUGCGUAGAGAUCUGGAGGAAUACCGAUGGCGAAGGCAGCCAUCUGGCCUAAUACUGACGCUGAGGUACGAAAGCAUGGGGAGCAAACAGGAUUAGAUACCCUGGUAGUCCAUGCCGUAAACGAUGUCUACUAGCCGUUGGGGCCUUUGAGGCUUUAGUGGCGCAGCUAACGCGAUAAGUAGACCGC
This 780-nucleotide ribosomal RNA is filed under the name Acinetobacter baumannii. RNAcentral describes it as "bacterial SSU rRNA". It matches the Rfam family "Bacterial small subunit ribosomal RNA", at positions 97 to 872 of the family's 1533-position model. Lineage: Bacteria; Pseudomonadati; Pseudomonadota; Gammaproteobacteria; Moraxellales; Moraxellaceae. The record is from RNAcentral.